This 1110-nucleotide long non-coding RNA is filed under the name Salmo salar (Atlantic salmon). Its description in RNAcentral is "lncRNA (ENSSSAG00000088175.1)". Lineage: Eukaryota; Metazoa; Chordata; Actinopteri; Salmoniformes; Salmonidae. The record is from RNAcentral.
ACCGAACAAGAGCCAUGGAACGGUGAUGGCCGAUUAGACUCUGGCGCGCGAGUUCAUGUUUGGUACCCUCGUUCCAAUACGUUAUAAAAGAGAAUGCAUUCGUCCACCUUGAAUAUUAUUCAUGUUCUGGUUAAAAAAGGCACUAAUGAUUUAUGCUAUACAACGUUUGACAUGUUUGAACGAACGUAAAUAUAUUUUUUCCCCUCGUUCAUGACGAGAAGUCCGGCUGGCUUAGAUCAUGUGCUAACAACACGGAUCUUUUUGGAUAUAAAUGAUGAGCUUUUUUGAACAAAACUACAUUCGUUAUGGACCUGGGAUCCCGGGAAGUGACAUCUGAUGAAGAGAAUCAAAGGGAGUCAUGAAGCUAGAAGCAGAUGCAGUGCAUCAUGAGCUAAUAUAUGUGGACGAGGCAGGUUUAACCUUGCAAAAACAAAAACAAGGGGCCACGGCAGAAAUAUCGUCGGACACUGUGCCAUCAUCAACGCCCCGGGACAACGUGGUGGCAACAUAACAAUGUGCUAUUAGUCAAAACGGCAUCCUUCACCAUCAUGCAAUUCUAGGCCCAUACAACACUGCACACAUUAUCACAUUUCUGGACACACUCCACAACAGACUAAUCCCUAAUGACCAGGGGCCAGAGCAGCCCAGGUACGUUAUCGUCUGGAACAAUGUUAGUUUCCACCGGGCUGCUGUGGUCUGCAAUUGGAUCACGUCAUCCACUGUUCAUUGCCCUCAAUCUCCCCCAUACUCUUCGUUCUUGAAUCCUAUUGAAUAAUUCUUCUUUGCAUGGCGUUGGAAGAUGUAUGAUCGCCAGCCCCACAAACUCAUACUCCUUCUACAGGCAAUGGAGGAGGCUUGUGGAGACAUCGAUCAGGGGUCAUGCCAGGCUUGGAUACGGCACUCCAGGCGAUACUUUCCACGCUGCCUAGCUCAAGACAACAUCACAUGUGAUGUGGAUGAAGUCUUAUGGCCAGACCCACAAAGAAGGCGAGAUGUCACCAACAUUUCUUCUGUUCUUUUUUUUCUAGCACAAAUGUUUUUGUUUUCUCCUACUGCGCUUUUUUUGUUUGAGGAGUGUUAGAACAUUUUGAGAAAAAUUAAAAGUUUUCC